GGGCUGGUGAUGGUUGGCUGUG
Molecule: unclassified non-coding RNA, 22 nt
Filed under: Mus musculus (house mouse)
Lineage: Eukaryota; Metazoa; Chordata; Mammalia; Rodentia; Muridae
Description: oocyte_clustered_small_RNA10267
Source: RNAcentral